This 248-nucleotide long non-coding RNA is filed under the name Lathyrus oleraceus (garden pea). RNAcentral describes it as "Pisum sativum (pea) long non-coding RNA (PSAT_LNC026091)". The record is from RNAcentral. Lineage: Eukaryota; Viridiplantae; Streptophyta; Magnoliopsida; Fabales; Fabaceae.
AAGAUCAACAACUUUUUAAUUUUGAGAAAGAAAUAAGAAAUAGUUCGGAUCGACUAUAAUUAGUUUGUGUUCGACAACUUGGAUUAUAAUGGGGUAUGUUGUGAUAUAAUCCAAGUGUGAUCCAAUCCAAGAUAGUUAGAUUUAUAGUUUGUUACUUAGUAGUAAAGUCACUUAUUUAUAUAUAAAUAGAUAUUUUGUAAUUCAAUUUUUAAAAUUCAAUAAUAACAAUCAUUAUUUUUCAUUCUCUC